AAGAUAUUAGUAAAAUUAUUACAUAACUUUGUCAAAGUUAACUUACAGGUUAGACCCCUGUAUAUCUUC
This 69-nucleotide transfer RNA is filed under the name Varecia variegata (ruffed lemur). RNAcentral describes it as "tRNA-Asp". RNAcentral also lists the same sequence under 1 other name. Lineage: Eukaryota; Metazoa; Chordata; Mammalia; Primates; Lemuridae. The record is from RNAcentral.